CUCCAGCAGUGGGGAAAGAUUUUGACAGGGAGGAGGCAGUGAGGAAAGCCUCUGCCAGCUCCUUGCUGCUGGAACCAUUCGCUGCCACAGGUAAAGACUACGACAGUGGAGAAAGGACCCUGCUGCAGGGAAUCAUCAAUUGUAUCAAAAGGCAUUGGUAUGUGUAUCUCCCCCUGCUUCUUCACCCCAAGAUGAGACUGUUUUGGGGAACCCUCAAGAAAGUGAAGGACUGUGUGAGGCAAUGGACACCCCUCAGAAAAGGAAGCACUUUUAAGGGGGGGGAGGGUAGAGGGUGUUUACAUGCAUGCACCAAUGUACAAUAGUGACUUCACUUCUCUCCUGUG
Long non-coding RNA from Mauremys reevesii (Reeves's turtle), 344 nucleotides. RefSeq lists it as uncharacterized. The record is from RefSeq and is a predicted model, not a curated record. NCBI's taxonomy places the organism in Eukaryota, Metazoa, Chordata, Testudines, Geoemydidae. The transcript is spliced from 3 exons.